UUUCCGUAGGUGAACCUGCGGAAGGAUCAUUAUUGUAUAACCGAGGUGCGAGGGCUGUCGCUGACCCGAAAGGUCGUGCACGCCCGAGCGCCCCCACACACAUCCAUCUCACCCCUAUGUGCACCACCGCGUGGGUCCCCCUUUGGCUUGCUCGGAGGGGGGCUUACGUUUUCACACAAACUUUGUAUGCAGUGUAGAAUGUAUUCUUUGUUUUUGCGAUCACGCAAUCAAUACAACUUUCAACAACGGAUCUCUUGGCUCUC
RNAcentral lists this unclassified non-coding RNA (263 nucleotides) under plant metagenome. Its description in RNAcentral is "partial contains small subunit ribosomal RNA, internal transcribed spacer 1, and 5.8S ribosomal RNA". The record is from RNAcentral.